This 616-nucleotide long non-coding RNA is filed under the name Hordeum vulgare. Its description in RNAcentral is "long non-coding RNA (HVUL_LNC010834)". Lineage: Eukaryota; Viridiplantae; Streptophyta; Magnoliopsida; Poales; Poaceae. The record is from RNAcentral.
AAUUAACUGAUACGUGUGCAGCAGGUGAACGUGGAAGUGGAAUCGGAUGACAGCUCGGAGGAGCGAGAGUUUCCCAAGACCAAGAGGCUCUCAGAUAUCCUCGAAACUACGUCUUGGAGGAACAACGCUAGUACCUCAGCCGCACCUCGAAACUGCUCCGAAGUUUUCAGGCCCCCGAGCAGGUUUGAGGAAGAAAAGCAGCAGCAGCGGCAUUGCAGGAAGAGAGGCCAGCAGGAAACAUCCGAAUCCGAUGCCACCACCAAAAGGCUCAAGGUCAACGGCCGCAUCGCGCUCAACGGAUGCCCUGCCCUUAACUCCAACCAAGCGCAACCAAAAACUCCACUAUCAUAGCUCUCAACUCAUCGGCUAUCAAAACAGACGGUUAUGUAUGUGUGUAUGUAGGUGGGCCUGGGCAGUCAGUGUAUUGGCUCGGAACUGAAAACAGGUACAAAGUCGAAUAGUCAGUCAGACUGUGAUAUAAAUUUAUGUAUCGAUCCUUUUUAUGUAACAAGCGACUACAUAGUUGGUUAGAGCGUCUACAACUGGAAUGGGCAAAUCCAAUCCCCUAUAGGCUGCCACACCCUUAAAUAUGGCGAUUUAUAACUACAAUCCUUAC